This is a long non-coding RNA of Oreochromis niloticus (Nile tilapia), 1571 nucleotides long. The record is from Ensembl. Lineage: Eukaryota; Metazoa; Chordata; Actinopteri; Cichliformes; Cichlidae.
AUAUUACAUAAAUCUAAACAUUAAAAGUUUGUUUUCAUAAUUAAGUAAUGAGUCUAAAUACUGGAAUUUAAAUGUUGUUGUUUUUGUUUCUUUUAUUUGUGCACAAUGGUAAAUAAAAUAUUUAAAAUAUCAAAUUAAAAAAACUUAAAUAUGCAUUAAAAACUAAUGUUGAUUCAUUAAAAUACUGAUUUAAAAAACGAACACCAAAUCUUAAAAGAUAUUAAAUAUAAAUAUUAAGCGUAACUGUUACAUGUUCUUGCAGAAAUCCGAUGCUGGUCUGCUUCGUUCCAAACAAGCCUGAUAAAACAUUUGAAGAAAACUGAACUAAAGGUUGGCAGUGUUGCUCAAAUCUGACUGCAGUACUUCCUUGUCCUUCGCUGGUUUCCUAAUUAGCUACACCUGCCUUCAAGUAGUCACACAGCUGGCCAAUUAAGCAAGAAGGUAAGAAAAUAAAGUUUUGCAAAGAGUUUAGCUGACUCACUGUCUGUUCAUUAGUUUCUAGGUCCGUAGUUUGGUAGCAGCUGACAGAAGUGGCUGAAUUUGCUGCUUCCUGUAGCUGAAGCUAUGAUGUUUAUAUUAAGGCAAGCUUUAAAGCAGUUUUUUAAAGAUGAAUCAAAAACAUUUUUAAUGUCACUAUUAAAGCUUAUAGUCUCUUUUAUGUCAUGUCUAGAUGGUUGCUGUUGUUCUUGCUAGCUGUCAAAAGUCAUCAAGAAAAUGAUCAAGAAGUGCCCCAUACGGAUGAUCAACUGGAUUUAAGCAGCAUUUACUUUGGAAAUGAGACUUUAUGGAGCAGUGGGAUACUUGAUAAUUCAACCUUGAAUGAGAGUAACUACAACACAACAUUAACAGUGGAUUAUCAGCCUGAAGCCGAAACACUGGCACAAAACAGGUCUUUGCCAGAUCUCCAGUAUUCAUUAAGUCAUACUGAACCUCCACUAAAAGAAGCAGAGUCUGGUUUUCAGGUACAGGUGCUCCAACAGCAGCGUACUUUCUCAUCCAGGCAGUCACAAGAGCCCCAGGUGCCGCCACCUACCUCCCCACCCAGUGAGACUACCUGCCCAUCACAGGUGCUCUUGCAGGUGCCAAUGCCGCGCAGUCCUCCACUUUGGCAGCUGGAGGUACCACAGCAGCCCCGUUCUCCACUCCAUCGGCUGGGGGUGGCUAAGGUGUCCCAGGUCUCCCCAGAGUUCUACUCCCCAUCUAAACAGCUGUGGGUGCCAGAUGAGCCUGGUUCAUCACACCAGCGGCUGGAUUUAAUCCAAAUGCAUGAAUCCCCUCUCCAACGGCUACAAUUUGCAGAGGUGCGCCAGCAGCCUAGAGCUGAACUCAGACGGGCACAGAUGGCUCAGGUACCCCAGCAGCCAAGUAUCCGGCUCCAACAGCUGCAAAUGGCCCAGUGGCCCCAACGGCCACUCUACCAGCUCCUGAUCCCUCGCUACCAGGCCAAGUACUCGCACUACCAGCCUAUGAUAUCCCGUUACCAGGAAAGGCUGCUAGGACACCGACCCAAGACUCCGCUCUUUCGGAUCAAGCAUCUUCGACACCCCCAGCAGAUCAGAUAUACACGUUAG